AUUUUAUGAAAAUCUAAGCUGGAGAUUCUAUUCAUUCAACACAUACAACACCUCUGGCAAGAGUGACAGACAUUAGGUUCCCACACCUAUCGGAUCUCUUUAAAGGACUGGACAGACAUUAGGUUGCCACACGUAUUGGAUCUCUUUAAAGGACUGGACAGACAUUAGGUUGCCACACCUAUCGGAUCUCUUUAAAGGACUGGACAGACAUUAGGUUGCCACACGUAUUGGAUCUCUUUAAAGGACUGGACAGACAUUAGGUUGCCACACCUAUUGGAUCUCUUUAAAGGACUGGACAGACAUUAGGUUGCCACACCUAUUGGAUCUCUUUAAAGGACUGGACAGACAUUAGGUUGCCACACCUAUUGGAUCUCUUUAAAGGACUGGAAGGAUUAAAUAUGACCUAAGCUCUGAAAAAUGGGUCUUAAUACAUGAGCCCAGAUCAGCCUGUGCAGCGUCUACUUAACACUUAGCUCACAUGCAUUAAGCCUCCUUUUUCGUAGCGUAACACACAAUACAAGACACAAUACAAGUACAUUUAAUGAGUCUCAUGCGAAUGGUUUUCAA
Dreissena polymorpha is the source of this 567-nucleotide long non-coding RNA. RefSeq lists it as uncharacterized. The record is from RefSeq and is a predicted model, not a curated record. The transcript has 3 exons. Lineage: Eukaryota; Metazoa; Mollusca; Bivalvia; Myida; Dreissenidae.